UAAAAAAAGGUAAGCUACUAAGAGCGAAUGGUGGAUGCCUUGACUGGUAAAGGCGAUGAAGGACGUACUAGACUGCGAUAAGCUACGGGGAGCUGUCAAGAAGCUUUGAUCCGUAGAUUUCCGAAUGGGGCAACCCAAUGUAUAGAGAUAUACAUUACCUAAUAUAGGAGCGAACGAGGGGAAUUGAAACAUCUUAGUACCCUCAGGAAAAGAAAUCAAUAGAGAUUGC
Molecule: ribosomal RNA, 229 nt
Filed under: Campylobacter jejuni
Lineage: Bacteria; Pseudomonadati; Campylobacterota; Epsilonproteobacteria; Campylobacterales; Campylobacteraceae
Description: partial 23S ribosomal RNA
Rfam family: Bacterial large subunit ribosomal RNA
Source: RNAcentral